CGUACGCUUCUUUUUCCACCGGAGCUUGCUCCACCGGAAAAAGAGGAGUGGCGAACGGGUGAGUAACACGUGGGUAACCUGCCCAUCAGAAGGGGAUAACACUUGGAAACAGGUGCUAAUACCGUAUAACAAUCGAAACCGCAUGGUUUUGAUUUGAAAGGCGCUUUCGGGUGUCGCUGAUGGAUGGACCCGCGGUGCAUUAGCUAGUUGGUGAGGUAACGGCUCACCAAGGCCACGAUGCAUAGCCGACCUGAGAGGGUGAUCGGCCACAUUGGGACUGAGACACGGCCCAAACUCCUACGGGAGGCAGCAGUAGGGAAUCUUCGGCAAUGGACGAAAGUCUGACCGAGCAACGCCGCGUGAGUGAAGAAGGUUUUCGGAUCGUAAAACUCUGUUGUUAGAGAAGAACAAGGAUGAGAGUAACUGUUCAUCCCUUGACGGUAUCUAACCAGAAAGCCACGGCUAACUACGUGCCAGCAGCCGCGGUAAUACGUAGGUGGCAAGCGUUGUCCGGAUUUAUUGGGCGUAAAGCGAGCGCAGGCGGUUUCUUAAGUCUGAUGUGAAAGCCCCCGGCUCAACCGGGGAGGGUCAUUGGAAACUGGGAGACUUGAGUGCAGAAGAGGAGAGUGGAAUUCCAUGUGUAGCGGUGAAAUGCGUAGAUAUAUGGAGGAACACCAGUGGCGAAGGCGGCUCUCUGGUCUGUAACUGACGCUGAGCUCGAAAGCGUGGGGAGCAA
Molecule: ribosomal RNA, 736 nt
Filed under: bacterium enrichment culture clone WG_116
Lineage: Bacteria
Description: bacterial SSU rRNA
Rfam family: Bacterial small subunit ribosomal RNA
Source: RNAcentral